GAGAUGGGAGGAUCACUUGAGCCCAGGAGGUCGAGGCUGCAGUGAGCUGUGAUCAUACCACUGCACUCCAGCCUGGGUAACAAAGCAAGACCCUGUCUC
Molecule: microRNA precursor, 99 nt
Filed under: Colobus angolensis palliatus
Lineage: Eukaryota; Metazoa; Chordata; Mammalia; Primates; Cercopithecidae
Description: miRNA (ENSCANG00000013403.1)
Source: RNAcentral